RNAcentral lists this small nuclear RNA (288 nucleotides) under Mesocricetus auratus (golden hamster). Its description in RNAcentral is "7SK RNA". It matches the Rfam family "7SK RNA". Rfam says of the family: 7SK was discovered as an abundant small nuclear RNA in the mid-70s but a possible function has only recently been suggested. Two independent studies have found that 7SK RNA binds the CDK9/cyclin T complex (known as elongation factor P-TEFb). P-TEFb activates transcription by phosphorylating the C-terminal domain of RNA polymerase II. The record is from Rfam by way of RNAcentral. Lineage: Eukaryota; Metazoa; Chordata; Mammalia; Rodentia; Cricetidae.
AUAUGUGAGGAAGAUAUGUUUGUGACAUCUGUCAUCCCAUUCAUCACCAUGGCUGAUUCAGAUGCUCUUGCUGGUUAGGCAGAUAUAAAUGUUUUCCCUCACUGCUGCAUGUACAUCCUUCCUAAAACUUUGAGCUCAGUCAAAGAAGUCGACUUUCCAUGAAUAGCACAUGACCAGUCUUUGGUUAAGAGUGCAAGAGAAGCUGCAUUCCCCUGCUAGAACCUCCAAACAAGUACUCAGGGGAUAUUUUAAAUCAAUACCUCUUCUAAAGCAGGAACAGUCUAUUUU